CCGUGUGAUGCAAUUUGUGUGUGUGGAUACAAGAUAAAUAUCUUUGGGUUUAUCGAAGAUUUGAUACUGAAAAUUCAUGACCGUGCUCAAUUGAGGUGAAAGUCAAUCGUUUGUUAUCUUUUAUACUAUAAAGCACAAGUCACCUGUCCAAUAAUAUUUAGCCACAUCAGAUUAUUUUCUUUUCAAAAAAAAAAAAAUACUACCCACGAUAUAAAAACUUAACUCACGAACAAUCUGAAAAAGAAAAAAAGUGAACUUCAACUCAUUUUUCGGAUCUGAAUAAUUAUUUUGGGCUAUAUUAUAAGCCCAAGCCCAUAACAUUUCUUUCCUAAAUUGUAGAACUAUUUUUU
RNAcentral lists this long non-coding RNA (350 nucleotides) under Capsella rubella. RNAcentral's name for it is "long non-coding RNA (CRUB_LNC000734)". Lineage: Eukaryota; Viridiplantae; Streptophyta; Magnoliopsida; Brassicales; Brassicaceae. The record is from RNAcentral.